This 192-nucleotide non-coding RNA is filed under the name Ureibacillus sinduriensis. The record is from RNAcentral. Lineage: Bacteria; Bacillati; Bacillota; Bacilli; Caryophanales; Caryophanaceae. RNAcentral also lists the same sequence under 1 other name.
UUCAGAAUUUUUUAAAUAGGUGCUAUAUAUAUUUUAUUAUAGCUUAAAAGGGAAGCUUGGUGUAAAUCCAACACGGUUCCCGCCACUGUAAUUCAGAGUAACCUGCAUGAUGCCACUGUUUUUUACCAAAGCGGGAAGGCGUAGUUUAUGAAGAAGAUAAGUCAGGAGACCUGCCUAUUUAAACAUCACUAA